This 373-nucleotide ribosomal RNA is filed under the name uncultured bacterium. Its description in RNAcentral is "bacterial SSU rRNA". It matches the Rfam family "Bacterial small subunit ribosomal RNA", at positions 118 to 507 of the family's 1533-position model. The record is from RNAcentral.
UGGGUGAUCUGCCUGCACUUCGGAUAAGCCUGGGAAACUGGGUCCAAUACCGGAUAGGACCAUGGACUUCACGGUUUGUGGUGGAAAGCUUUUGCGGUGUGGGAUGGGCCCGCGGCCUAUCAGCUUGUUGGUGGGGUAAUGGCCUACCAAGGCGACGACGGGUAGCCGGCCUGAGAGGGUGUCCGGCCACACUGGGACUGAGAUACGGCCCAGACUCCUACGGGAGGCAGCAGUGGGGAAUAUUGCACAAUGGGCGCAAGCCUGAUGCAGCGACGCCGCGUGAGGGAUGACGGCCUUCGGGUUGUAAACCUCUUUCAAUAGGGACGAAGCGCAAGUGACAGUACCUAUAGAAGAAGCACCGGCCAACUACGUG